This 348-nucleotide ribosomal RNA is filed under the name uncultured Leptolinea sp. Its description in RNAcentral is "bacterial SSU rRNA". It matches the Rfam family "Bacterial small subunit ribosomal RNA", at positions 1021 to 1382 of the family's 1533-position model. Lineage: Bacteria; Bacillati; Chloroflexota; Anaerolineae; Anaerolineales; Anaerolineaceae. The record is from RNAcentral.
UCGGGAGGCUUGCACAGGUGCUGCAUGGCUGUCGUCAGCUCGUGUCGUGAGAUGUCGGUUAAGUCCGCUAACGAGCGCAACCCUCACCUGUGUGUUAUAUGUGUCACACGGGACCGCCGGGUCUUAAGCCGGAGGAAGGUGGGGAUGACGUCAAGUCAGCAUGGCCUUUAUAUCCUGGGCUACACACACGCUACAAUGGCCAACACAAUAGGUUGCUAAGCCGCGAGGUGGAGCCAAUCCAUAAAGUUGGUCUCAGUUCAGAUUGUAGGCUGCAACCCGCCUGCAUGAAGAUGGAGUUGCUAGUAACCGCAGGUCAGCUAUACUGCGGUGAAUACGUUCCCGGGGCUU